Long non-coding RNA from Penaeus monodon (black tiger shrimp), 151 nucleotides. RefSeq lists it as uncharacterized. The record is from RefSeq and is a predicted model, not a curated record. The transcript has 2 exons. NCBI's taxonomy places the organism in Eukaryota, Metazoa, Arthropoda, Malacostraca, Decapoda, Penaeidae.
CGGUUGUUUACUUCAACGGCAAUUGUGGUCGCCUAACAGCACCAGGCCCUAGGGUUUGGAGUUUUACGUAUGAGUACGGACAUGGAAGAUAAGGAUGAAUAUGUUGAAAUUGUAUUUCAUCAGUUAUAGAGAAUAAAGGAAGAAGCAACAA